AUGCAAGUCGAACGAUUAAAGCUCUCUUCGGAGAGUGCAUAGAGUGGCGCACGGGUGAGUAACACGUAAGUAAUCUACCCUCGAGUGGGGAAUAACAUCGGGAAACCGAUGCUAAUACCGCAUAAUGCAGCGGCACCGCAAGGUGACAGUUGUUAAAGAUUUAUCGCUUGAGGAGGAGCUUGCGGCAGAUUAGCUAGUUGGUAAGGUAAUGGCUUACCAAGGCUACGAUCUGUAACCGGUCUAAGAGGACGGUCGGUCACACUGACACUGAAUAACGGGUCAGACUCCUACGGGAGGCAGCAGUCGGGAAUUUUGGGCAAUGGGCGAAAGCCUGACCCAGCAACGCCGCGUGAAGGAUGAAGUAUUUCGGUAUGUAAACUUCGAAAGAAUAGGAAGAAUAAAUGACGGUACUAUUUAUAAGGUCCGGCUAACUACGUGCCAGCAGCCGCGGUAAUACGUAGGGACCAAGCGUUGUUCGGAUUUACUGGGCGUAAAGGGCGCGUAGGCGGCGUGACAAGUCACUUGUGAAAUCUCUGAGCUUAACUCAGAACGGCCAAGUGAAACUGUUGUGCUAGAGUGCAGAAGGGGCAAUCGGAAUUCUUGGUGUAGCGGUGAAAUGCGUAGAUAUCAAGAGGAACACCUGAGGUGAAGACG
Molecule: ribosomal RNA, 654 nt
Filed under: uncultured soil bacterium
Lineage: Bacteria
Description: bacterial SSU rRNA
Rfam family: Bacterial small subunit ribosomal RNA
Source: RNAcentral